UGGAAGGUUCCAACAGACUCUUACUU
RNAcentral lists this non-coding RNA (26 nucleotides) under Mus musculus (house mouse). The record is from RNAcentral. RNAcentral also lists the same sequence under 1 other name. Lineage: Eukaryota; Metazoa; Chordata; Mammalia; Rodentia; Muridae.